AACGUACGCUGGCGGCACGCCUAACACAUGCAAGUCGAACGAAGUAGCAAUACUUAGUGGCAGACGGGUGAGUAACAUGUAGGUAUCUGCCCUUUGGCCUGGAAUAACACGAGGAAACUUGUGCUAAUACCGGAUAAGUCUUUACGGAGAAAGCUUUAUGCACCAUUGGAUGAGCCUGCACUUGAUUAGUUUGUUGGUGGGGUAAUGGCCUACCAAGACUGUGAUCAAUAGCUGAUUUGAGAGGAUGAUCAGCCACAUUGGGACUGAGACACGGCCCAAACUCCUACGGGAGGCAGCAGUGGGGAAUCUUGCACAAUGGAGGAAACUCUGAUGCAGCGAUGCCGCGUGAGUGAAGAAGGCCCUUGGGUUGUAAAGCUCUUUCGUCGGGGAAGAAAAUGACUGUACCCGAAUAAGAAGGUCCGGCUAACUUCGUGCCAGCAGCCGCGGUAAUACGAAGGGACCUAGCGUAGUUCGGAAUUACUGGGCUUAAAGAGUUCGUAGGUGGUUGAAAAAGUUAGUGGUGAAAUCCCAGAGCUUAACUCUGGAACUGCCAUUAAAACUUUUCAGCUAGAGUAUGAUAGAGGAAAGCAGAAUUUCUAGUGUAGAGGUGAAAUUCGUAGAUAUUAGAAAGAAUACCAAUUGCGAAGGCAGCUUUCUGGAUCAUUACUGACACUGAGGAACGAAAGCAUGGGUAGCGAAGAGGAUUAGAUACCCUCGUAGUCCAUGCCGUAAACGAUGUGUGUUAGACGUUGGAAAUUUAUUUUCAGUGUCGCAGGGAAACCGAUAAACACACCGCCUGGGGAGUACGACCGCAAGGUUAAAACUCAAAUGAAUUGACGGGGACCCGCACAAGUAGUGGAGCAUGUGGUUUAAUUCGAAGAUACGCGCAGAACCUUACCAACACUUGACAUGUUCGUCGCGACUCUAAGAGAUUAGAGUUUUCGGUUCGGCCGGACGAAACACAGGUGCUGCAUGGCUGUCGUCAGCUCGUGUCGUGAGAUGUUGGGUUAAGUCCCGCAACGAGCGCAACCCUCACUUUUAGUUGCCAUCAUUAAGUUGGGCACUCUGAAAGAACUGCCAGUGAUAAGCUGGAGGAAGGUGGGGAUGACGUCAAGUCCUCAUGGCCCUUACGUGUUGGGCUACACACGUGCUACAAUGGUAUCUACAACAGGAAGCAAGACUGCGAAGUUAAGCAAAUCCCUAAAAGAUACCUCAGUUCGGAUUGCACUCUGCAACUCGAGCGCAUGAAGCUGGAAUUACUAGUAAUCGUGGAUCAGCGUGCCACGGUGAAUGCGUUCCCGGGUCU
This 1306-nucleotide ribosomal RNA is filed under the name uncultured bacterium. Its description in RNAcentral is "bacterial SSU rRNA". It matches the Rfam family "Bacterial small subunit ribosomal RNA", at positions 28 to 1381 of the family's 1533-position model. The record is from RNAcentral.